Coregonus clupeaformis (lake whitefish) is the source of this 250-nucleotide long non-coding RNA. RefSeq lists it as uncharacterized. NCBI's taxonomy places the organism in Eukaryota, Metazoa, Chordata, Actinopteri, Salmoniformes, Salmonidae. The transcript is spliced from 3 exons. The record is from RefSeq and is a predicted model, not a curated record.
UGUGUUGGCCCAGCAUGGGCAGUUGGGGUUGUGUUUCUAUGACAGCAGAGACUUCACUCUGCACUACAUGCCUGACACCUCAGGCAACCACCAGCUCCAACUGUUGGCCAGAGUGGUCCAGGAGGUGAGCCCUCAUGUGAUCAUUACCAGUGCUAAGCAGGAACGCUGCAUGGUCCAGUUCAUGCAGGGACUGGGAGCCAACCCAGACUACAGGCCAGAGGUGGUGACCUAUCCCAAUGUGGACUUUGGU